CAGUUGUAGUUUCACCUUUGUUCUUAGCUACUGACUGCACGUGCAAGAUGCUUUGCGUUGGUUACUGCAUUUAAAGGUUUGCCUUAGCUACUGCAUUUAUAGGUGCAUUAUCCCUUUUCAUCAAUCUGGUCGCAAAAGAGGUAAUAUAGAAAAUCAUUCAUUGGAAACCUGCUCCACUGGCGUGAGAUCAUUGGUUCGAAAGAGACAAUACAGACCAUCAUUCAAGGAAUAAAUCAAACAUAUCUACUAGACUCUGUUUCUGCCAACUUCAGAUACCUGUUUAUAUCGAAGAAAGUUUCACAAAAUAGAACUGAACCUUCAUCCAAGUCUUAGCUUCAUCCAUCUCAGUGCUUCUGCUUGCGUCUUCCGGUCCAUAAAGAAGUUAUUAACAAAAGGGGUCUUCUAGAUUGUAAGUAACCAACCAGUAUUCUGUCUAACAGCUAAGCAUUUGACAAGGUUGCAAAUGUUGAACUUUUUGGGGCUGAAUUCCUUGAUACCCUUUGUCCUACUGUAAGUUGCAGGCUUUCCAUGCGAUGGGUAGAAUGUUUGUUUCCUGCACAUAAUUAGUUGAUGAACAGUAUCUAUUUUAAUUGAUUAGAAAAGUUUCCAUCUCACAUGUAUUUUUGUAUAAUCAGACAUGCCCAGAGACCUAACAGAGAUUGUGCACGCCUAACUAAAGGGGGUCAUAAACAUUCUUAAGUGGACACUCUGAUCAGCGUUUUCAAAUCAUACUUAUUUUCAAACUAAGAGGGGAUAUAUUUCUUUCUCCUCUUAAGAUGUUUACCUUUUAUUUUUCCUAUGUUUGAUCUUUGUUGGUACAAGAUAUAUUUAUUUUCUCCACAACAUCAGAAGUACUUUGCAUGAUUUUUGUAGAAAGAAUUAUGGUAGCUGAAUGGCCGCUAGCCAUCUAGGCACAAAUGGUUCAGCUUAGAUGCUGAUUUGAGCAAUAGAAAAUUGGAAUCUUCACUCUCAGCUAUCAAACAUGUUCGUUGCCUCUUACCGAGUUACCGUCUUCUUUGUGAACUAAUCUAAAUGAAAAUCUGUGCGCACCUACAAUGACACACUUGGUGGAAAUGUAUUUCUAACUCCUUUCAGUUUACUUCCCUGGUCAUCUUGCUUCUACUGAUGAGUUUUCAGGUUCAAACUAGGUUCUGUUUCACAAAAGUGGAGCUCCAAGAUAACAACUGAGCUAUGGGUACACACGAAGUUUAACAAGGAAGUGUUACAUGAGCUAGGAAGAAAGUUGGUUAGUAUUGCUACCUGUUUGAAAUGUUUUAGAAGAAAAUAACUAUGCAUGGGUGAAAUAUGCAAUAUUCUAAAAAUAUAGGAUCCUACUGAUGAUCUUUUGGAUAGAUAAUGCUCUAUUUAAUACCACCACAUGCUAAGGUGUUAUAUGUGAUUGUCCGAAUCACAGGUAAAUCCUUAGCACCGGCAGCCAUGGCACAUGAGGGCUUGGAAGCAGUUCACUAGGUACUGGUCACAGUUUGUAAAAUAAGACCUCAAGAAUACUUAAUGAAAUUAAUCAUUUGCAGUCUUGCAGACUACUGUUUGAACCACAAGUUUACACUAAUUUAGAGUUGCACACUUCGGUAACUUACAUGUUACUCUGCACUUUGUCCAUAUAAUUAGUGAACUGACAUGUUAUUCAUUUUGUUUGUGCAGUUGUUUGGAUAGUAGAAGGACAAAGAACUUUCGCAUCUAGGACUCUAGCACUACUGCUGGCGCUGCCACGCCCUCCCGUCCUGAUUGCCCUCCCACCGCUAACCGCCACUGCAAAAUCAUUUGUCCCUCAAACCCUCCACUCAGAACCACGAUUUGAUGCGUCGCCUCGCCCGCCCAGCCUCCACCCUGCUCGGUAGGUCCGUGAGGAGUGGCCCCUGCACGCUUGCCACGGAUGCACAAGGACUGUUCGAAGAAAUGCCUCCACCUCCUGCUCCACCAAAACUGCCAUGCCACACACUGUUUGUCCAUGCCUGCCAGGUGCUCAGCCGAACACACACUUCAGGGUUUUGUACUGUGGCUCAGCGGUUCACGGAUGAGCACGCCAGUGCAGAGCCACUGCGAUUCACAGUCACGCCGGGCGAUGCCUUUGGGGAUGGCCCGCCUGUGGGCAUUUCAGAGGCUGCUAAGAUGGUGUGUCGUAUUGUGUCCACGCAACCAGAACCAAGGAUUGCGUCAACGCUUGAUGCACUUGGGGUGGCCAUGUCUCCAGAGCUGGUAGCUGAAGUGCUCAAGAACUUGAGCAAUGCUGGGAUGCUAGCACUUGCCUUCUUUCGCUGGGCAGAGAGGCAGGAGGGCUUCAGUUACACGGCUGAGGGCUUCCACAACCUGAUUGAGGCGCUCGGCAAGAUCAAGCAGUUCAAGCUGGUGUGGAGCUUGGUGGAGACCAUGCGGUGCCGGGGCUUGCUGUCUAAGGACACAUUCAAGCUCAUCGUCCGAAGGUAUGCUCGGGCUAGAAAGGUCAAAGAGGCUGUUGAGACAUUCGAGAAGAUGAGCAUUUUUGGGCUUAAAACUGAGUUGUCGGACUACAACUGGCUGAUUGACACGCUAAGCAAAUCCAAACAAGUGAAGAAGGCGCAAGCCAUCUAUAAGGAGAUGAAGAGGAAGGGUAAGUUUGUACCUGAUUUGAAAACCUACACUGUCCUCAUGGAAGGUUGGGGCCAUGAGAAAGAUCUGUUGAUGGUGAAAACAAUGUACCAAGAAAUGAUUGAUGCUGGCAUUAGGCCU
Molecule: long non-coding RNA, 2727 nt
Filed under: Sorghum bicolor (sorghum)
Lineage: Eukaryota; Viridiplantae; Streptophyta; Magnoliopsida; Poales; Poaceae
Description: long non-coding RNA (SBIC_LNC016966)
Source: RNAcentral